Molecule: long non-coding RNA, 1433 nt
Organism: Lineus longissimus
Lineage: Eukaryota; Metazoa; Nemertea; Pilidiophora; Heteronemertea; Lineidae
Exons: 3
Source: RefSeq, a predicted model, not a curated record
GAAGUUUUGUCACAACCACCCGGGAAGACAACACGGAGACAACACGUACAUGCUGGUUUGAUUCAUAUGUUCUUCCUUGAUUGGCCUGUGUGGUUCAUCAUGAUGAGGAAAUCGAUCCUGAAAGUGAUGUGAAGUUUUGUCACAACCACCCGGGAAGACAACACGGAGACAACACGGAGACACAUGUACAUGCUGGUUUGAUUCAUAUGAUGGAACCGCAUACACACCACGCGUCAACGAAGACAACCGCCAUCUCGAAGGAGGAGGAAAAUCGUGAUGGAAUCUUCGCUCACAGCUGAACAACAUUUGAUCAGUUCUUCAGGCAAGACCUACUCUUUGUAAAACUGCAAGCCAAACACUAGUUACACUUGUCAACGGUUCUGCCACAAAUGAUUACAAAUCGUUUUACAAGUUAAUACGAUGCGACAGGCUUUUAAGCGUUGCUUUUAGACAAGACAAGAUUUUAUUCGAACAGAAAAAGUUGUUAAGCAUAAAAAUACAUGGCAGAGCAGAAAAAUGACAAGUGCAACUAGAUACUAGUGAGGUUUCGCAUCCCUAAGAUAUAAAUCUACGUUUACGUUUUGAAAUUUUAAAAUCAUAACGAAUUUUAGCUCUUCUGGUUAAAAGGAACCGAUUUCACAAUGUUGCGAAGGGCGCGCAAAACCCUCGGUGCAGAAAACUGCCCAACGUGUAUGUGCGUCACACAGGCGUUUUGGAAACGUAAACGUGAUUGCGAAACCUCCCUAUUUUCCAAUACAUGACACCUGACAAGAACCUGGAGAGGGUUAAACUUAUAUUGAGGUUUAUUGGGGGGGGGGGGGGGAUGAAAUUAUUUGGAAAAUGUUUAAUUAGUUAUACUUUUACUGAUACCUUUUCAUGAAGCUUUUUUCCUCAAUUGCUGCAAGAAAAAAUCCUUUAAAAAGGCAUAGUUUCUUGGCUUCUGGUAUCUUUCGCAAUAACACCUGUUUUGCUGUUAAAAGUUUUAAAGCUUUUCGUAUUAAAAAAGUGAAAAAAAGUCCUUGAGGCUGACGGGAUUCGAACCCGAGACCUCUGGCUGUUAAGUCACACGCUCUAACCACUACUCCACCAAGCCACACUCUCAGUAGGGCUGCGAAAGAGCGAGUCGCUGAAGUUUAGGCCAGACGGCUCAUUGAAGAUUUAUGGUGAAUUGGUUGAAUAGGCAGGUUACGAGAUCCUUUGUCAAAUAAGGUGUGUCCAUUUCUUCUGCAACAACACACAAUUUGUAGAUUUAAUUGAAUGAGACGUAGGCCUAUUACACAGCAAUACAUUGUACUGAAUUAGAUUUAGAUGGAUUGAACUGAUUCAAACUAUGUAAGAAAUACUUUAAUCUCACUUCUAUAAGACCAUCUUAUCGAAAGUUAUUAUCAAUUUUUCAGUACCGGAUACCGGGUGUUCGGUAUUGCUGAUUCAUG